GCAUUGUACAGCGAAACUGCGAAUGGCUCAUUAUAUAAGUUAUCGUUUAUUUGAUAGUGCCUUACUACUUGGAUAACCGUGGUAAUUCUAGAGCUAAUACAUGCUAAAAGACCCGACUUCGGAAGGGUUGUAUUUAUUAGAUUAAAAACCAAUGCCCCCCCGGGCUCACUGGUGAUUCAUGAUAACUAUACGAAUCGCAUGGCCUUUGUGCCGGCGAUGGCUCAUUCAAAUUUCUUCCCUAUCAACUUUCGAUGUUUGGGUAGUGGCCAAACAUGGUUGCAACGGGUAACGGAGGGUUAGGGCUCGACCCCGGAGAAGGAGCCUGAGAAACGGCUACUACAUCCAAGGAAGGCAGCAGGCGCGCAAAUUACCCAAUCCCGAUUCGGGGAGGUAGUGACAAUAAAUACUGAUACAGGGCUCUUUUGGGUCUUGUAAUUGGAAUGAGUACAAUUUAAAUCCCUUAACGAGGAACAAUUAGAGGGCAAGUCUGGUGCCAGCAGCCGCGGUAAUUCCAGCUCUAAGAGCGUAUAUUAAAUUUGUUGUGGUUAAAAAGCUCGUAGUUGAACCUUGGGCCUGGCUGGCGGGUCCGCCUCACCGCGUGUACUUCGCUGGCCGGGCCUUUCCCUCUGUGGAACCCUAUGCCCUUCACUGGGUGUGGCAGGGAAACAGGACUUUUACUUUGAAAAAAUUAGAGUGCUCCAGGCAGGCCUUUGCUCGAAUAUAUUAGCAUGGAAUAAUAAAAUAGGACGUGUGGUUCUAUUUUGUUGGUUUCUAGGACCGCCGUAAUGAUUAAUAGGGACAGCCGGGGGCAUCAGUAUUCAAUUGUCAGAGGUGAAAUUCUUGGAUUUAUUGAAGACUAACUACUGCGAAAGCAUUUGCCAAGAAUGUUUUCAUUAAUCAGGAACGAAAGUUAGGGGAUCGAAGACGAUCAGAUACCGUCGUAGUCUUAACCAUAAACUAUGCCGACUAGGGAUUGGACGAUGUUAUUACUUGACUCGUUCAGCACCUUACGAGAAAUCAAAGUGCUUGGGCUCCAGGGGGAGUAUGGUCGCAAGGCUGAAACUUAAAGGAAU
RNAcentral lists this ribosomal RNA (1073 nucleotides) under Ophiocordyceps curculionum. Its description in RNAcentral is "SSU rRNA". It matches the Rfam family "Eukaryotic small subunit ribosomal RNA", at positions 71 to 1153 of the family's 1831-position model. The record is from RNAcentral. Lineage: Eukaryota; Fungi; Ascomycota; Sordariomycetes; Hypocreales; Ophiocordycipitaceae.